Molecule: non-coding RNA, 25 nt
Filed under: Mus musculus (house mouse)
Lineage: Eukaryota; Metazoa; Chordata; Mammalia; Rodentia; Muridae
Source: RNAcentral
UCAGGCUCGUUUGUUUUCGGCUUGC